RNAcentral lists this long non-coding RNA (489 nucleotides) under Erythranthe guttata (spotted monkey flower). RNAcentral's name for it is "long non-coding RNA (EGUT_LNC000975)". The record is from RNAcentral. Lineage: Eukaryota; Viridiplantae; Streptophyta; Magnoliopsida; Lamiales; Phrymaceae.
GCCAAACUCUAGCGAUCAUACCAAGCAAAAUAUCUUAAAAGAUAAUCAGAUUCAUAUGCAAUUAGUCAAAAAAAUGUUUUCAAUAAUAGUUGAUUCUUCAAUUCACAACGUUGUUAGACACUCGUAGACUCGUAGACAACUAGGGUCAUUUUCAAAACCCUACUUUUGCCAUUUGGAACCCUAGCACCGCUAGCAAACGUAGACCAGCCACCAUCCCGUUGUAUAUGCAAUUCAACGCACACAUACCAUGAAUUCAUCAUAACCAGCCCUAGCCACUGCUAAAAAAACAACGAAAAUAUCUACGCACAUACUCGCCAACCCUUCCGUGAUGCAAUCGCCACUCCCCCAACCAAGACGAGUCAGGGACAUCGCCGCCGCCGCACAAGCGCGUCUGAAAUGGCCACCAUCGUUGCAGAUCUAUUAUUCCUCUGUAUAUUUUUAAAAAUUCAGAUCUAAUAAUUAAAAAGAAAGAAAAAGAAAUUAAAAGAA